Molecule: long non-coding RNA, 957 nt
Filed under: Homo sapiens (human)
Lineage: Eukaryota; Metazoa; Chordata; Mammalia; Primates; Hominidae
Description: HSALNT0113333
Source: RNAcentral
AAGAAAUUGAGGCAGACAGAGGUUAGAGGAUUUGAACUGAUGUUGCCAGGACUUGAAACCAGACAGUGGCUUAUAUUAGAGUCUGUGUUCUCAGCUACCAUACUAUCUGCUGUUCUGCUGAUGACCUGCGGAAAGCUUCAUUCACUGGCAAAAGAGAAAUGCUUCAAUCAUUCCCAAGGAGAAAGAUACUGGAAAAUGUGGUUUGAAGUGUAAAUUUAUAGAGCAGAGUCAUAACCGACAGUUAAUAUCUAAUGGUUUCAAUCAAAUUUAUAACAGAGCUGAGUUGGCAGCAAGCAUUCCUGGACCUGUCUCUCCAAUCACAGAGUACCCAGGGACACAGGCAUUUACACACGGACUCCGGGAGCUUGUGCAAUGUGAUACCAACUGCAGUUCUCUUCAUGAACAUAACCUCAGAACCGAAAGGCUUAUAGGUGGAAGAAACAUGUCUUGAGUCUCAGAUAAGACUUGCGGCUUUGGACUUUGAGUUCACACUGGAACCAAUUAAGACUUUGAGGAAGACUAUUAGGAAGGGAUGAUUGUAUUUUGCAUUGCGAGAAGGACAUGAGAUUUGGGGGACCAGAGGCAGAAUGAUAUACUUCGGAUGUUUGUCUUCUCCAAAUCUCAUGUUGAAAUGUGAUCCCCAAUGUUGGAAGUGAAGCCUGGUGGGAGGUGUUAGGGUCAUGGGGGCAGAUCUCUCAUGAAUGGCUUGGUGCCUACCCCACAAUAAUAAGUGGCAAUGAGUUUACAUGAGGUCUGGUUGUUUAAAAAGAGUGUGGCAUCUCUCCCCUCUCUCUCUCGUUCCCUUUCUCACCACGUGAUAGGUCUGCACACCCUUGGCCUUCUGCCAUGACUGGAAGCUUCCUUAGGCCCUUACCAGAAGCAGAUGCUAGCACCAUGCUUCCUGUACAGCCUGCAGAACUGUGAACCAAAAUAAACUUCUUUUCUUUAUAAAUUAUA